This is a non-coding RNA of Pogona vitticeps (central bearded dragon), 890 nucleotides long. The record is from RefSeq and is a predicted model, not a curated record. NCBI's taxonomy places the organism in Eukaryota, Metazoa, Chordata, Lepidosauria, Squamata, Agamidae.
GCCGAGUCUAUCGCGAAAGUUUGUAUUAAGAGGUCGAGGCAGCGCAAUUAGUUGCCGCCCCUGUUGACUCAGGCCAGGCACCCGGAUGGCGUGGAAAGGGCUAUAUCGCCGUGUGUUUCUUCCCUCGGUCACGGGGGAGGGAAUUCACCGCCCUGGAGAGUUUGGUGCCUGAGGCGGCUGCUUCCUUUCGCUUCUCGGGCGGGCCCUCUGGCUACAACCCGGUUGACAGUUCGUUAGGUGGAACAUGCAGGAAGGAAAGCGAAGACUGUUGACCCCAGCGCCACUUCAAACUUUGCGGGAUAGGACGUGUGUGUGUGCGUGUUGCGGGGCGGGGGUGGUGGUGGAAGGAAGUUUUCGUCAGCAAUUGUGAGCCUUCGCUAAUACAUUAAAUUGCGAGGAAAACGCGCCAAAACCUCUCGACAGUGUCUUGCGGGUGCGGAGGCCUCGACACGUCCUCUGCCUCGCUCCGUCUUAUUCCCUACCUUUGCGCAAUACCUAAGCCUUUUUUUCCCCGUCUUGCCUGAGGGAGAGACACUACCUGCGUUUUCGAAGACCGCGGAAACUUCGUAAGGCAGGAAGGAGGGACGGGUCACUUUUCGGCGGCCCUCCGCCCUCUUCUUCUUUCCUUCCCUUUCCUCGUCCUACCGCCAAGCAGCUGCGGGCCUCCAGGGGAUCAGCCUUUCCUGCGCUGGCCGGGCAGGCGGCGGCGGCGGCUGCGCGCCCGCUGCUUCUGCUCCCAGUUAGAGGUGGCUCCUCCAUUUCCAUAUCAUCACUGGUGUUGCAACCUCACAGUCCUCUGCUGUUCUAUAGUGAAGGAGAAAAUGUAGAAGAAAGGAAGUGAAGGGGAGUGGUAAAGGUAAAGGUUCCCCUUGACAAUUGAGUCCAGUUGU